Molecule: long non-coding RNA, 1328 nt
Organism: Schistocerca nitens (vagrant locust)
Lineage: Eukaryota; Metazoa; Arthropoda; Insecta; Orthoptera; Acrididae
Exons: 3
Source: RefSeq, a predicted model, not a curated record
CUACCUGGGCCAAUGCUGUGAUGGUGGCGAUUUUCUAUUAACCAUUUUGCUGGUGUUAUAUCCAGCCCAUAAUAGGGCACUGUGUGUUGCAGAAUACUGCCAGAACACAUACUCUGUGUGGUAUAACUUGGCUUGUUUCAUACCACUGAAGGUUCUCCUUCUUGGUGGGAUCUACAGAACAUGAGGAAUGAAUGAAAAAUGAAUAAAACUUGGGUUUUCAUCUAAGUUGGUAAAGCUGUAUUCAAUAAAAGAUGCUGCAGAGCAGGCACCGGUGUGCCAUUAAUUUGAAGGACAACAUGCCAAUAACCAAAGAAAACAGGAUCAAAACCAUCCUGCUACCUGGUGGCCAGAGUUCCACAGAAAUUACCAGGGGCUUCAACCAAUGAUACCCUGGAGGGAACCCAUCACAGAAAGUGUCAUCAGGAAACUGAUCAGAAAGUUUCAAGAAACAGGAUCAAUGGCAGAUAAGUCCCAUGCCAGCUGUGCCCCUACAGCAACCGGUAAGGCUAUGACCACGGCAAUGUUAGCAUCAGUGGCCACAAGUUCCAUCAAAGGUAUCUUGUGAUUCACCCAAAAGCAUGGCAUUCUUUGGAGCAGUAUCCACCAAAUCCAUUCAAAACACAACUCCAACAACAUCUGGUGGAAGGUGACCCUGAUUGAAGGGUACAGUUUUGUGAGUGGGUGUCAGCAUAACAUGCCAUUAAUCAUGAUAUUGCUUACAACAUACUCUUUAGUGAUAUGGAGAAUUUAUAUGUCAAUGGACAAGUUAACAAGCACAACCAUUGAUACUAGUCACCAGACAACCCAAGUUGGAAGUCUCCCUCCAGGGCACAAUGAUGUGCAAAGUUCUGCUAUAGUGCGGCACUUCGGGAAUGUGUCUCAUUGGCCCUGUCUUUCUGAUGGAAAUCCCCAAUGCUCUGAACUAUCUGCAGAUGCUGGAUGAGGUUCUCAAUGAAGAUGGGGCAUUUCCUUCAUACUUUCAGCAGAACGGGGCACCAUCCCAUUGUAGUGCCUGUGCACAGGAAUGGCUUGACACGCAUUUCCCCAGAUGUUGCAUUGGGCAUCGUGGUCCCAUGGACCUCAUUCACCUGAUCUAACCCCCCUAAAUUUCUAAUUGUGGGGCUAUCUGAAGUCCAUGGUGUAUUCCGUAAAGAUUCGUGAUGUGCAGCAACUGGAACUGCAGAUUACUGAGGCCUGUGAUAGUGUCACACCUGCCGUGUUGCAUCAUGUCCAUGUAAACUUUCUCCAUCAGACACAAAAAUGUCUUCAGGUACACAGACAGCAUGUGGAACACAUUCUGUAAAGUGCACCUUGUUUUGUAAUGUGUU